RNAcentral lists this ribosomal RNA (468 nucleotides) under uncultured bacterium. Its description in RNAcentral is "partial 16S ribosomal RNA". It matches the Rfam family "Bacterial small subunit ribosomal RNA", at positions 28 to 507 of the family's 1533-position model. The record is from RNAcentral.
GACGAACGCUGGCGGCGGGCUUAACACAUGCAAGUCGAACGGAAAGGCCCUGCUUGUGUGGGGUGCUCGAGUGGGGAACGGGUAAGUAACACGUGAGUAACCUGACCUUGACUUUGGGAGAACUUCAGGAAAGUGGGGCUAAGACCGGAUAGGAGCUCCUGCAGCGGGGUGGGGGUUGGAUAGUUUAGGCGGUUGGGGAUGGAUGCGCGGCUGAUCAGCUUGUUGGUGGGGUAGUGGCUUACCAAGCCUUUGACGGGUAGGCGGCCUGAGAGGGUGACCGGCGACAAUGGGACUGCGAUACGGCGCAGACUCCUACGGGGGGCAGCAGUGGCGAAUAUUGCACAAUGGGCGCACGCCUGAUGAAGAAGCGCCGCGUGUGGGAUGCCCGCUUUUGGGUUGUGAACAGCUUUAGCCUGAGACGCAGCGGGAGUGACGGUAAUGGGUGAAGAAGCACCGGCUAACUACGUG